GCUUACGGCCACACGGCCUGAGUACGCCUGAUCUCGUCCGAUCCGGAAGCUAAGCAGGGUCGGGCCUGGUUAGUACUUGGAUGGGAGACCGCCUGGGAAUACCAGUGCUGUAAGCU
Molecule: ribosomal RNA, 116 nt
Filed under: Oncorhynchus mykiss (rainbow trout)
Lineage: Eukaryota; Metazoa; Chordata; Actinopteri; Salmoniformes; Salmonidae
Source: RNAcentral